CGGCAGCAGGAGAACCGGGGGAAUCGCGCUGCUGGGGUAAAAGCUGGAGCGAGGCGAAAGCGUGUAACAAUUGCACUCGCACACACACACAGACACACACACACACCACUCACACGCACUCGCCGCCCGCCCGCUCGCACAGCGUUGAAACACGCGCGCCCAGACACGCACACACGCACGCACACACACUCGCACACACGCAGAGGCACGGGGGGGAAAAGAAGCCGAUGAAUAAUUUUGCUGCUAUUUUUUUAAAUACUGGCCGCCAUCAUCAAGCAGCGAGCAGCAGCAGCAGCGUUGAAGGGAGAGGAGGCAUCGGGACAGGCCCCUCUUAGGAGAGGAUUUAUAUCUAGUUGGAAAAAAAAAAAAAAAAAGAAAAGAAAAAGAAGAAAAAGAAGAAAAAAAAAAUUGUCAAGCCCCCGAACUGAAGGUUACGAGCGGCCCGUCAGCAGCCCACAUGUAACCGAACUGUCGUGUUUCAUGGCUUUUUGCCACUCCAGCUGUCAAUCAAAGCCCGGAAUGUCAAGGAUUCCCUCCAAGACUGAUAGGAAAGACAGGGCCACUUCUGGACUAUCUGUGAGGAUGUGUUUCUUUCUGUAACACUGAAGCACUUUUUAUAAACCUUUUAAUGUAUUUAAAUAAAUCUAUUUGGACAUUAAGAGAAGCCAUACAUACAAAGAUAGUUUGGCUUUAUGCCGGCAAUCCCAACAUUAGAAAAAAAAAAAAUUCACAAUCCAACUGAGAAGCUUUUCCGUGCCCAACCUUGGUCAAAAAAAAAAAAAAAGAAGGAAAGCAAAAGAAAGUUUCCUGCGUGCAUCUGCAUGUCUUCGUGUGCACGAUUAUAAACAUCUCCCAGUCCUUGUUUGCCCGUUACCUCCCUCCUGCCACACACUCCAAGGCAGAGGCGUCGAGGGAUGGCCCCCAGAGAUCUGUGUUUACUCAGGUUUUCUUAAAAAAAUCUCUCCGCCAUGUAUGACAAGUGUUACUUCAAGAAAUUCAUCAGCCUUCUAUAGAUACUUCCAGUUUUACUGUAAUGAUCUGCAGAAGACAACUGCCAUCACUUUCUCACAUCCCAAGGUGUUGUAGGAACUCACAGAAAGGGGAGAGUGGCUGAAACGCUUAAUUACAGUGGCGGAGGUGGGGCGCGAGGCGGGACCGAGGGAGGGAGAGUGAGGAAGGUCUUUACCUGGCCAGUAUGUAGAAAGCUGCGAAUCCUCACGGCGAAUAUUUGGGAAAGGUAGGGUUGCCUUUUUUUUUUUUUUUUUUUGGUAAUGCCUUUGGGGAGAAGUGAUACACUUGUGUAACAAUUAGC
Molecule: long non-coding RNA, 1312 nt
Organism: Balaenoptera ricei (Rice's whale)
Lineage: Eukaryota; Metazoa; Chordata; Mammalia; Artiodactyla; Balaenopteridae
Exons: 3
Source: RefSeq, a predicted model, not a curated record